GAUGAACGCUGGCGGCGUGCCUAAUACAUGCAAGUCGAGCGAACGGACGAGAAGCUUGCUUCUCUGAUGUUAGCGGCGGACGGGUGAGUAACACGUGGAUAACCUACCUAUAAGACUGGGAUAACUUCGGGAAACCGUAGCUAAUACCGGAUAAUAUUUUGAACCGCAUGGUUCAAAAGUGAAAGACGGUCUUGCUGUCACUUAUAGAUGGAUCCGCGCUGCAUUAGCUAGUUGGUAAGGUAACGGCUUACCAAGGCAACGAUGCAUAGCCGACCUGAGAGGGUGAUCGGCCACACUGGAACUGAGACACGGUCCAGACUCCUACGGGAGGCAGCAGUAGGGAAUCUUCCGCAAUGGGCGAAAGCCUGACGGAGCAACGCCGCGUGAGUGAUGAAGGUCUUCGGAUCGUAAAACUCUGUUAUUAGGGAAGAACAUAUGUGUAAGUAACUGUGCACAUCUUGACGGUACCUAAUCAGAAAGCCACGGCUAACUACGUGCCAGCAGCCGCGGUAAUACGUAGGUGGCAAGCGUUAUCCGGAAUUAUUGGGCGUAAAGCGCGCGUAGGCGGUUUUUUAAGUCUGAUGUGGAAGCCCACGGCUCAACCGUGGAGGGUCAUUGGAAACUGGAAAACUUGAGUGCAGAAGAGGAAAGUGGAAUUCCAUGUGUAGCGGUGAAAUGCGCAGAGAUAUGGAGGAACACCAGUGGCGAAGGCGACUUUCUGGUCUGUAACUGACGCUGAUGUGCGAAAGCGUGGGGAUCAAACAGGAUUAGAUACCCUGGUAGUCCACGCCGUAAACGAUGAGUGCUAAGUGUUAGGGGGUUUCCGCCCCUUAGUGCUGCAGCUAACGCAUUAAGCACUCCGCCUGGGGAGUACGACCGCAAGGUUGAAACUCAAAGGAAUUGACGGGGACCCGCACAAGCGGUGGAGCAUGUGGUUUAAUUCGAAGCAACGCGAAGAACCUUACCAAAUCUUGACAUCCUUUGACAACUCUAGAGAUAGAGCCUUCCCCUUCGGGGGACAAAGUGACAGGUGGUGCAUGGUUGUCGUCAGCUCGUGUCGUGAGAUGUUGGGUUAAGUCCCGCAACGAGCGCAACCCUUAAGCUUAGUUGCCAUCAUUAAGUUGGGCACUCUAAGUUGACUGCCGGUGACAAACCGGAGGAAGGUGGGGAUGACGUCAAAUCAUCAUGCCCCUUAUGAUUUGGGCUACACACGUGCUACAAUGGACAAUACAAAGGGCAGCGAAACCGCGAGGUCAAGCAAAUCCCAUAAAGUUGUUCUCAGUUCGGAUUGUAGUCUGCAACUCGACUACAUGAAGCUGGAAUCGCUAGUAAUCGUAGAUCAGCAUGCUACGGUGAAUACGUUCCCGGGUCU
This 1372-nucleotide ribosomal RNA is filed under the name uncultured bacterium. Its description in RNAcentral is "bacterial SSU rRNA". It matches the Rfam family "Bacterial small subunit ribosomal RNA", at positions 28 to 1381 of the family's 1533-position model. The record is from RNAcentral.